AUUGAACGCUGGCGGCAGGCCUAACACAUGCAAGUCGAGCGAGCGGCGGACGGGUGAGUAAUGUAUGGGGACUGCCCGAUAGAGGGGGAUAACUACUGGAAACGGUGGCUAAUACCGCAUACUAUCGGAUAACCCAUAUGGGAUUAGCUAGUAGGUGGGGUAAAGGCUCACCUAGGCGACGAUCUGUAGAUGGUCUGAGAGGAUAAUAAGCCAACCUGGGAUGGAGACAAGGCCCAGACCCAUAGGGAGGCAGGAGUGGGGAAUAUUGCAUAAGGGGCUGAAGCCUGAUCCGGCCAGGCCGCGGGUAGUAAGAAGGUCUUGGGGUGUUAAAGUACUUUUAGUGGGGAGGCGUUACCAGAAGAAGAAGAACCGGCUAACUCCGUGCCAGCAGCCGCGGUAAUAC
RNAcentral lists this ribosomal RNA (403 nucleotides) under uncultured bacterium. Its description in RNAcentral is "partial 16S ribosomal RNA". It matches the Rfam family "Bacterial small subunit ribosomal RNA", at positions 29 to 526 of the family's 1533-position model. The record is from RNAcentral.